Molecule: ribosomal RNA, 141 nt
Filed under: Francisella tularensis subsp. tularensis 70001275
Lineage: Bacteria; Pseudomonadati; Pseudomonadota; Gammaproteobacteria; Thiotrichales; Francisellaceae
Description: partial 16S ribosomal RNA
Rfam family: Bacterial small subunit ribosomal RNA
Source: RNAcentral
AACUGAAGAGUUUGAUCCUGGCUCAGAUUGAACGCUGGUGGCAUGCUUAACACAUGCAAGUCGAACGGUAACAGGUCUUAGGAUGCUGACGAGUGGCGGACGGGUGAGUAACGCGUAGGAAUCUGUCCAUUUGAGGGGGAU